ACCAGACUCCUACGGGAGGCAGCAGUGAGGAAUAUUGGUCAAUGGGCUUACGCCUGAACCAGCCAAGUCGCGUGAGGGAAGAAGAUGACAGUACCUCAGGAGUAAGCUCCGGCUAACUAUGUGCCAGCAGCCGCGGUAAUACAUAGGGAGCAAGCGUUAUCCGGAAUUAUUGGGUGUAAAGGGUGCGUAGACGGGAAAUUAAGUUAGUUGUGAAAUCCCUUGGCUUAACUGAGGAACUGCAGCUAAAACUGAUUUUCUUGAGUACUGGAGAGGAAAGUGGAAUUCCUAGUGUAGCGGUGAAAUGCGUAGAUAUUAGGAGGAACACCAGUGGCGAAGGCGACUUUCUGGACAGUAACUGACGUUGAGGCACGAAAGUGUGGGGAGCAAACAGGAUGAGAUACCCCCGUACA
RNAcentral lists this ribosomal RNA (410 nucleotides) under uncultured bacterium. Its description in RNAcentral is "bacterial SSU rRNA". It matches the Rfam family "Bacterial small subunit ribosomal RNA", at positions 330 to 794 of the family's 1533-position model. The record is from RNAcentral.